Molecule: long non-coding RNA, 1328 nt
Filed under: Malus domestica (apple)
Lineage: Eukaryota; Viridiplantae; Streptophyta; Magnoliopsida; Rosales; Rosaceae
Description: long non-coding RNA (MDOM_LNC012673)
Source: RNAcentral
GAGGUCAUGUGGCAACCACAACAAGAGGAGGGGGAAACCGAGGAACCAAAAGGGAAGGGGGGCCCACAAGGCCCACAAUUUAAGAUCUAAAAGCACAAAUAAAAAAUAUCUUCCAAACCAAAGUGAAAAUACGAAAAUACCCUUCCGAUGACAUCUAUGAAAAAAAAAAUCACAAUUUCACAUAUUUCUAUAAUUUUAAGUUUUCAUUAUCUCUACAAAUUUUUCAAAAUUUCCCCACAAUUUCACAUCUUUCCUACAAUAUUCAAUAUUUUCACAAAAACGUACCACAAUAUUCUUAAUAUUCACAAUUCACAAUAUUCAUAGUAAUUACAAUAGUCCUAAUAUGCACAAAUCACAAUAUAUACAAUAUUCCUAAUAUUCACAAUAUUCUUAGUAAUUCACAAAAAUCACAACAUUCCUAAAUAUUCACAAAGCUUCCAAAUAUUCACAAAAAUCACUAUUUUCAUAAACCACCUAAACCUACCACCCUCAUCCCCCUGAACCACCUAACGUGAUUUCUAAGGUGUGGACAACACUUUGUGGACAAGGCAUGAGGACGGAAUGUGGUAUGUUCGAUGAAAAUUGAACGGUUGAAAACAAUUUCCAUCGAAAUGAGCUUAGGAUGAAACCGGGUCAUAAAUGAUCCGUUAGUUAAUUGAAAUGGUACUUGGGAUGAAUUCAAAAUUUCUUGGGAUUUAAAUUGUACCCCUGGACAUCAAUACUUUCCGUAUUAAGUAAGUCUUGUCCUCUUAUAAAAACACUCCAUCUCCCGCGUUUGCUCAAACAUCGUUGUCAUCGAAAACAUCCUUCCUAUUUGAAAACUUGCUUCAUGUUCUAAACCCAGCUAUAGUUGGUUUGUGGUUAUGUUGUCCGCUCUCACAUAAUUUCUAGACAGCAAUGAAGAAAAUUAGAGGACUUUUGAUGGAGGCUGUGCAGUGAGUUCGAAAGAAAGGACGUGCUUUUCACUUUAUUCGAGCUAGAUUCAUACUGCUUUUGCGAUAAUCGUGGUCAUAUUUUAUUCUCCCAGUGAAUUUCAAAAUUGGUGAGUUUUGAAGAUGGAAUCCUAGAAUUUCAUUUAGUUAUUGUUGUUAAGCAUUAUAAAUUAAGCUUGGUGUAAGGUUAAUUAUGCAUGUUUGUGGAUGUAAUUACGUGCAAUUUGUCAAUAUAUGUCAAUUUUUUUUUUUUACAAAUUAGGGUGAGUUGUGAACUUAUGAAGCUAUUUUGACGAGUUGUGUAGAUGUAGGGGCGUUAUCUGUUGUUUUGAUAAAGAUAUAGUUUUGAGUAGGGAUUGAAUUUUGUAUAUGAAAUACUGUUAAUUUUAUAGUGGU